UCGGCUCCGGUUCACCCGCGAAUCCCACGGGACCCGGCGGCC
This 42-nucleotide non-coding RNA is filed under the name Actinospineispora spinosispora DSM 44797. Its description in RNAcentral is "Pseudonocardia spinosispora DSM 44797 L31-Actinobacteria ribosomal protein leader". It matches the Rfam family "L31-Actinobacteria ribosomal protein leader". The record is from RNAcentral. Lineage: Bacteria; Bacillati; Actinomycetota; Actinomycetes; Pseudonocardiales; Pseudonocardiaceae.